AUUCAGAUUACUAGUCCCAAAUAGGACGAAACGCGCGUCAAACUGGAU
This 48-nucleotide non-coding RNA is filed under the name Schistosoma mansoni. Lineage: Eukaryota; Metazoa; Platyhelminthes; Trematoda; Strigeidida; Schistosomatidae. The record is from RNAcentral.